CAACCGGCGAACGGGUGCGUAACACGUGAGCAACCUACCUAGGUGUGGGGGAUAGCCGGCCCAACGGCCGGGUAAUACCGCAUACGUUCUUUGGGGGAGUCCCUGAAGAGGAAACCUCCGGGGGAGCGCGAGGGGCUCGCGGCCUAUCAGCUAGUUGGCGGGGUAAUGGCCCACCAAGGCGACGACGGGUAGCUGGUCUGAGAGGAUGGCCAGCCACAUUGGGACUGAGAGACGGCCCAG
RNAcentral lists this ribosomal RNA (240 nucleotides) under uncultured bacterium. Its description in RNAcentral is "partial 16S ribosomal RNA". It matches the Rfam family "Bacterial small subunit ribosomal RNA", at positions 92 to 334 of the family's 1533-position model. The record is from RNAcentral.